AGCACUGGUAUUGACAGGUACAAAAGUCAAUCCUCUUUUGCAACCCAGAGAGAACUCAUUGUUCAGUAUGAGCUUUGAUACAUAUAAGAAGGAAUACG
Molecule: small nucleolar RNA, 98 nt
Filed under: Castor canadensis (American beaver)
Lineage: Eukaryota; Metazoa; Chordata; Mammalia; Rodentia; Castoridae
Description: Small nucleolar RNA SNORA40 (ENSCCNG00000003629.1)
Rfam family: Small nucleolar RNA SNORA40
About the family: The snoRNA ACA 40 belongs to the H/ACA family of snoRNAs and guides the pseudouridylation of 28S rRNA subunit at position U4565. NB This family has a high threshold value to exclude a large number of closely related sequences that do not appear to have conserved H and ACA boxes, and may be pseudogenes.
Source: Rfam by way of RNAcentral